GUAUUUAGUAUUUUAAAAUAAUAAACAAAAUAGAUUUUUAUCUGUCAGUCACAGAAAUGAAAACAAAAUUUAAAAAUAUAUAAAGCCUGGGAAGUGGAUUUAUCUCAUAUACUAUUGGAACUGGUACUGCCUUUCAAAGAACAGACCUAUUACAUUAUUAAAAGUUGCCCUCUGUUUACCCUAGUAGUUCCGCUUCUGAGAAUCCAUUCUGGAACACUAGAUAAUGGCAAUAGUAGACUACUAGAAUUCUAUUGUAUUAGUAUGUAAGUGAAAAAAAUUCACUCCAAGUAUGUUCUAGCAGAAAAAAAGAAGACUUAAGGCCAUACGGAGUGACACAAACAUUUUCAAUGGAGUGACAUAAAUAAUUUCAUGGACAAGUUAAUAUCGUCUCUGGAUAAACCAAUGAGGCACUCUGAAAUGAGAAGUUUUAGCAGGCUACCUUUCAGUUUGCUGCAAUUAAUUGAAGAGCCCAAGGAUUUACAUCUUUCUGGAUAAAUUCAGAGACAUCUAGAGCUAUCGGACAGACAGGCCCAGUGAAGAUGAAUGCAGAGGCUACAAGCAAGAGCAAGAAGGGAGACUAUUUUCAAAUGUGGUCAUUAAGUAUCCUAGCCAUUCGAGAGGCAAACUGAUU
Molecule: long non-coding RNA, 631 nt
Filed under: Canis lupus familiaris (dog)
Lineage: Eukaryota; Metazoa; Chordata; Mammalia; Carnivora; Canidae
Description: lncRNA (ENSCAFG00030016351.1, ENSCAFG00040014733.1)
Source: RNAcentral